UCUCCCCUAGCUCUCCUCUUGUUUUUAUAGCUUUAGAUGGCGUGGAAACAAGAAUCUAGCCGUUAGAGACAAAAAUAGAGCCGUUGGACACAGUCUGCACUUCCUGACAAUAUUACCGUUGGGAUCGGAGUCGACUCGCGCGAUCAGGAGUCGACUCGCCUGUUGCAGGAGUCGACUCGUGCUUUACUGGAGACGACUCGGCCACUGUUCCAAAUUUGAAUUAUUGUGCAUCCUCGACUGGGAGUCGACUCGU
Molecule: long non-coding RNA, 253 nt
Filed under: Phoenix dactylifera (date palm)
Lineage: Eukaryota; Viridiplantae; Streptophyta; Magnoliopsida; Arecales; Arecaceae
Description: long non-coding RNA (PDAC_LNC022067)
Source: RNAcentral